RNAcentral lists this long non-coding RNA (1190 nucleotides) under Chrysolophus pictus (golden pheasant). RNAcentral describes it as "lncRNA (ENSCPIG00010011864.1)". Lineage: Eukaryota; Metazoa; Chordata; Aves; Galliformes; Phasianidae. The record is from RNAcentral.
AGUUGCACCAGUCUCUGUGUAAAAGAUCCCACCUCUCCUCACUGCUUUCCUUACUCCCCGGACUGUUGUGGCUGCACACAUGAGUGCUCAUUGCCAUUUUUCUCAUUGCUGCUCAGCACUGAGCUGACGCUUGUGUGGGACUCCCCUCAGCUGUCCCAGCAUCUUCCAAACAGCAAGACUCAUUGAGGAACCCAUUCCCUGUGUAAGUGCAGCCAGAAUGAUUUUUUUUUCCCCAUGCGCGUUGCUGUACAUCAGGCUCUGAAUUUCACUUGUUGCCUUAUUGCUCAGUGAUGCAUCCUUGUAAAACCCUUCUGCAAGACUUGAGUUGCUGCUGGAUUUCAUUGUGAAUCAUCUCGCCUGCAAGUGCUGUCCUCAAACCACCCAUGCCUUUUCCAAGCCUUCUGCAGCCCCCAAACCCUGAAAGGGGAGAAGAUGGGAAAUGCUGCUGCUCUCCUGCCAUGACGGUGCUGUGCUUGGGCUCUCAGGAGGGCAGGUGCUGGAAUUCACACGUUGCUUGAGAAUAAGAACAGUGACGAACCUGAGGCCAAGAAGUUCAAAGAGGACGAGGAGGAGGAAACUGUCAGGCACAGGUAAUGAUUUAUUUAUUCUGACUUCUCUUUCUUGUGUGUAUUGUUCAGGUACAGCCCACCUGUUUGCUAAUUAGGAUCUUUCUUGGCCUUCAAAAAUGCAAUUUUUGUUUUAUUUUGGUGUGAAUAACUUGCUGCAAAUAGUCUGAGAUAGGGGAAUGAAGAGAACCCUCUGGCUGGCUUACAGCAGACUGUUGCAAGGGGAUGGUGAUGUUCUCAGAGACACCUGGAGGACAGAUGCACUUCAGAUUCCCCUCAGUUAGAGAACCAUUUACAGGAUCAUAGAAUCAUUGAGGUCAGAAGGAAUCUCUGGAGAUCUUCCAGUCCAACCCCCCUGAAUAUCUCCAAAGAAGGAGACUCCACCAUCCCUCUGUGCAUCCUGUUCCAGGGCUCUGUCAUCCUCAAAGUAAAGAAGUUCUUCCUCAUGUUUGUGUGGAACUUUCUGUGGUCUACUUUAUGCCCAUUGUCCCUUGUCCUGUUGGUGGGCACCACUGAAAAGAGCCUGGUCCCAUCCUCUUGGCCUCCACACUCCAGAUACUGAUAAGCAUGAUCAGAUCCUCCCACUCAGCCUUCUCUUCUCCAGGCUGAACAGUUUAGGGUUCU